Molecule: long non-coding RNA, 1703 nt
Organism: Drosophila montana
Lineage: Eukaryota; Metazoa; Arthropoda; Insecta; Diptera; Drosophilidae
Exons: 3
Source: RefSeq, a predicted model, not a curated record
GGCGACGAAAACACUGCCAAAGUUAUUACUAGUGGCAUAAAAAAGGGGAAGAUACGAAUAAAAGGUAAUUGUUGCACCAAUGGGAGAACAGUACCCGCUAAAACUAAUAUGCAACAAAAAAAUAAUGUUGAGUGGCAUGUAAAUAUGUGUGUUCAUGCGCUUAAUAUACCUUGGCUGCCUAAAGAGCUCUCAGAGUGGGGCGGUAAGGGUGAAAAGACGUGAUAUAUUGUAGAUAUGGUACAUAUGUAUACACAAUAACUUUUGGGGCCUUUCCAUCGAAGUCGGACAUCAAUGAAGUUUUUUUUAAAAGAGUGUGUAUAUGCAUUUAAUAACACCCUGUAUCUAAAUACAUAAGUAUGCGACACUAUGUUGCAUACAAUAACAAACAUAAAGCCAAAAGCGCAGAGCCGCUUGAGUUUAUUGACUCAGGCUCAUAUUACGCAGCGCGGACCGCUAGUACUCUAGCUGGCCGUUUAGCUGACUGCGCUUAUCCCACGCUUGGCUUAUAUACCAAGAGUACCAUAUAUGUACUCACUAAUGCAUGCACAUACCAAGCACUCUCUCUCUCUCUUUGAAUUAUGCUCUGCUGCGACAGAGCUUUACAUAUUAUAAUAACUAUAUCUUAGGUUUUGAAGCGGACAGAGUUCCGAAUAAAGAACAUUCCAAAAAUAACUAUAAGCCAGCACUAACGUGCAGCUUGAACAUUUUUCUACAUGGCGACCGUGAAAAGUGUCACCCAACGAGGGAAUAUUCUUUACAACAUAUUCAACUACAAGAACAACAGUAACAAGAUGGAAUAGCAGCAGCAAUAACAACAGCAAAUAAAACAAACAACAAUCCAAGAGGAGCCGUCACCUGGCAACGACGCAAUCCGGAAACAAAACAACACUUGGUAUGAGAAAAAAAAAAAAAUUUUGCAUUCAACAUAUGUAAACCCACCAAGCUCAGCCACAAUAAGCCGCAACGACAAUAUUAAAAGGAGCUGCAGCUACAGCAGCAGAAACAAUAACAGCAACAACGUCACAUGGUAAACAACGAAUCAGAAACACCGACGUUCGCAGAGGGAACACCAAUAACGCAAACGGAUGCACCAUUAAUCAAGGCAAGUGAUAGAGACUAGCCUGCGAGACGGACCCAGGCCUAUCACUAUAGAGGAGUACAAGAGGGAGCGUCAGCUUGCCAGCACCGGCGACGCCAAGCUGACGCAUAGGAAACAACGAGGGGGCGAAAAAGCCAAACUGAAGCAGAUCAACACCCUGUUGCAAAACAGGAAGAAGCGGACCAACAAAUGUUAGUGCCUCGCUUAAAUUUUUAAGUACCCAUCUUGCGUUUGCGCUAGGUACGAAAAACUAACACUUGUCUCAGUUUAAACAACUAACAAACACUUUGUAGUGUAAACUUAAUCUAAGUAAUAUAUUGUAAACUUGACAUUUGCUAAUGUAAACUACAAAGUGUUCCCCUGUUGAUUUCAUAAAAUUCAUUUGUAACAAAUAGAAGAAGAAAGAUAAUGAUUUGAUGUAAAUAUCACAAGUUAAUCAUUCAAACUAUUAAAUCGCAAGUCAAUUAUUCAAAUUUUUAUAUUUCAAACCUUUAAAACGGAGGUAUUAUUCACACUCCAUAAUCACUUCCCUUGGUCCACCAUGGGAUUAAUAGACACAAAGACAGUGGAUUCCACCGCCAACGUUAUUAAUAAAGUUGAGGAG